GAGUUUGAUCAUGGCUCAGAUUGAACGCUGGCGGCAUGCCUUACACAUGCAAGUCGAACGGCAGCAUGAUCUAGCUUGCUAGAUUGAUGGCGAGUGGCGAACGGGUGAGUAAUACAUCGGAACGUGCCCUGUAGUGGGGGAUAACUAGUCGAAAGAUUAGCUAAUACCGCAUACGACCUGAGGGUGAAAGUGGGGGACCGCAAGGCCUCAUGCUAUAGGAGCGGCCGAUGUCUGAUUAGCUAGUUGGUGGGGUAAAGGCCCACCAAGGCGACGAUCAGUAGCUGGUCUGAGAGGACGAUCAGCCACACUGGGACUGAGACACGGCCCAGACUCCUACGGGAGGCAGGCAGUGGGGAAUUUUGGACAAUGGGCGAAAGCCUGAUCCAGCAAUGCCGCGUGUGUGAAGAAGGCCUCGGUU
This 418-nucleotide ribosomal RNA is filed under the name uncultured microorganism. Its description in RNAcentral is "bacterial SSU rRNA". It matches the Rfam family "Bacterial small subunit ribosomal RNA", at positions 9 to 424 of the family's 1533-position model. The record is from RNAcentral.